GUUCCGGAACGCCGCGGCCCAGGGCUGCCACCUCCGCGGGGAACACCCUUGCUCUGCCCAGCUGGCGGGAGCAUCAUCUGCCCCCCCGCCACCCAGCCGGGAGCCCGAUCCGACUCAGGAUUACACUGACAUCACUGCGAGAGAUGCUGGGAUCAUUCCCCGGGGGAGGGAAGGAAAGACGCGUGUCAGCCUCGCAGUCGCGGCGCUUUCUGCAGGCCCUGGCAAGCUUUUUUGCACUAGUUUGGGGGGAGCGGGAGAGUGUGGAUGAGGAUGCAGCAUAGCUGGGCAUCUUCUUUGAAAAUCUACCCGUUGGAAGGUCCGGGUAUUUAAUUAGGACCUCUUCAUCCCAAGCAGCAGGGCGAGAAUGUCCCAAAAUAACUAACCCAGAGAGUACACUCCAGCCUUCCUAGCCAAGUGUCCUGAGGCUACGUUAACAGGCAGAACUAAAUCUAGUAAAGUGCAGGGAUUAAUGAACAAACAGUUAAAGCAACAAGAUCCCUCACCUACACCCCCAUUUCUGAGGCGGACGCCCCUUUCCCUGGAGAAAAAAUUUGUCCUCCUAAAGAGGGGAUGUCCUGAAGAGAAGACGGCAAAUCAUUCCUUCUGAAGGACUCUGAUGUCUCAGCUUGCUGGGCUUUUGCUUUUUUUUUUUUUUUUUUUUUUUUUUAACCUGUUUUGGUUUACCCCUACUGUAACUCCUGAAAUGUGAAACCUAGAUAAAAGUUACUGCUGGGUUUUCUUGUUCAAAGAAGAGAAGAGAUUCUGUUCAUCUGUAGACAGUUAAUGCAUCCUCUUGACUUCUCAGGGUGUCUUUUCUCAAGGCUUGCUGUUACUCAUUUCAACACCCGAUUUUAUUUUAACGGUAAAGAGCUCAACAGUUAUCUUAGUUGAAAUUUUGUUUUGUUUUUGACAAAUGAAAACAAAUGAAUUGCUUUGUUUUUUCACAAAUGAAUUAUCACAUCAAAUGCAAUGAAGAUCCCAAGCUCUGGCAUCAGACUUGAUUCAAAUCCUGGUUCUAGGGCCUGGGUCAAGUAACUAGACUUUUCUGUUCCUUCAAUUCCUCAUCUAUGAAAUGAAGAUAAUCAAGACCUACCUCUUAAUAUAGCGGUGGAUCGAAUGUGCUAUGAUGAUGGAGGAUUUCUCACUGUGAGAGAAGUGAGCCACCAGAUAGAGAGGACACUCAAACAGCCCCAUGCAGAGGCCAAUAUAGAAAGGAUAAAAUAGCCAGCAUCAACUUACCGGCUUUGUAAGAGAGCCUUUAUAACUGAAUCCACUGCCCCGGUCAAGCCUUCAGAUGACUGCAGCUCUAGCCUACAUCUGGCUGCAAUCUCAGGUGUUCAGAUCAAGGGAAACUACUCUAAGAGGCUACACUUGAGGAACAACAACCAAGGAGCUUCAACUGCAUCUGGAUUUCAGGAGUCUGGAAAACUUUUCUUUUGAGCUAUUGACAGCCUUUAACAACUGAGUAAAGUGUACUCCUGUGAACAAAAUUCAGAGCCUGUUUGUUUCUCUCUACCUGAUUUCUCCAGAAUUUGGAAACUAUUUACUGACUCUUCUUAUUUCUGUUAACCAACCAGUGAUCUCUGGCUGCUGCUCAGAAGAACUAAGAAGGAUGGGUACCAUCUUUUGUUGGAACUCAGUUACAAAUAACCCUCACCAUACCAGCACUUUCUGAAUGAGCUCCUCUCUACCCUGAAGGCAAAAGACCCAAUAGUUAGGCUGGAAUAUUAUCACCCCUAUUCAGCCUGAAGAAGUUACAGAAAAUGGAUCUUCAUCUGUCUACAACCCUUAGGAUUAAGUGUUCUCUUAUAAUAGGGAGGGGGGAAUUGUCAGAGGCAUUUGAAUCAAAGCAACUCCAUUUCACACAGGGGCUAAGUGAAAUAAGGCUAAGACCUACUAGGCUGCAUUCCCAGGAGGUUAAGACAUUCUAAGUCACAGGAUGAGACAGGAGAGCGGCAUAAGAUGCAGGUCAGAAAGAUCUUGUGGAUAAAACAGGUUGCAGUAAAGAAGCCAGCCAAAACAUCAAAACCAAGAUGGCGACAAAAGUGACUUCUGGUCGUCUGCACUGCUACAUUCCCGCCAGCACCACGGCAGUUUACAAAUGCCAUGGCAAUGUCAGGAGGUUGCCCUACAUGUUCUAAAAUGGGGAGGAACCCUCAGUUCCAGGAAUUGCCCACCCCUUUCCUGGAAAACUCAUGAAUAAUCCACCCUUUGUUUAGCAUAUAAACAAGAAAUAACCAUAAAAAUGGGCAACUAGGUGUGCACCACUGCUCUUCUUAUGGAGUAGCCAUUCUUUCAUUCCUUUACUUUCAUAAUAAACUUGCUUUCACUUAAAAAAAAACUUGACCCUUACCUUAUGCCAUGUAUAAAAAUUAACUCACAAUGAAUCAGGAGGUAUUCCUUUUUCCUGACUGCCUUUGAACUGGGACAUCAUUUUUUUCCCUGUCUUCAGACUUGAACUGAAACAUCAGCUUUUCUUGAGUCUCAACCUGCUGUUCUUUGGACUAGAACUGCACCAUUGGCUCUCUUGGGUUUCCAGCUUAACAACUGUAGAUCUUGGAACUUGGCAGCUUUCAUAAAUACAUGAGUUAAUUUCUUAAAAUAAAUAUAUUCAUAUGUAUGUAUAUAAAAUACAUAUCUAUCUAUCUAUCUAUCUAUCUAUCUAUCUAUCUAUCUAUCUAUCUUCUAUUGAUUUUUUUUUCUCUGGAGAACCCUGACUAGUACAGCUACAUAUAGUGUGGUAUUGGUGUUAAAGAUCAAUAAAGCAGCAUGCAGAAUUCAAAACAAAACAUAUAUAGAAUUAACUGCCAACAAACAUGACAAAGUAGUCUACAUAGAAAAGGGUAGUUUUUUCCCCCAAAUGUUGCUGAUAACAAUUGUAUUUUCACAUAAAAAUUGACAGUUGACACAACUCGUGCUGUACGAAAAAAAGUUAACUUGUAAACAAAAAAUUAACUUGUAGUGGAUUAUAGACCUAAAUAUAAAAGCUAAAACCAUAAAACUUCUAGAAGAUAAUAUUGGAUAAAAUAUUCACAAACUUGGAGUGGGCAAAGAUUUCUUAAAACACAAAAAUCACUAACCAUUAAAAAAUCCCAAACCUCAGCAUCACACCAUAUACCCAAGUAAAAAAGCUGCACAUGUACCCACUUAAUCUAAAAUAAAAGUUGAAAAAAAUAAUAAUUUAAAAAAUUUGAAAAAUAAAAGUAAAAUAAAAUAGACAUUUGAGUCUUGAAGGACGGCAUUAAGAAACUGUAAAGGCAAACUAUAUUAAUAAAGAAAGUAUUAAUAAUGCAUAUGGAACAGGAGAGUUUCCUGACCUCUUCUUGGGACUUGUGACAAGAGUGUGGCUUGCUUGCUCUGCCACCACACAUUCAAACACCUUACAGGAAGGGGAGCAUACAGAUGGGCAGGUGCAGGAGCUGGGGUGAGCGCUUUUGGGCUCCUGCCCCAUGGUAGCAUCUAGGAGUAUGUUAUGAUUAAUGCUCUUUUAGCAGUUACCAUCUGUGUAUGGCUAAAUGUUAAACCAGCUCAGUGGAGUGUCAGG
RNAcentral lists this long non-coding RNA (3544 nucleotides) under Homo sapiens (human). RNAcentral describes it as "non-protein coding lnc-RTKN2-2:2". Lineage: Eukaryota; Metazoa; Chordata; Mammalia; Primates; Hominidae. The record is from RNAcentral.